CUAACACAUGCAAGUCGAACGAGGGCUUCGGCCCUAGUGGCGCACGGGUGAGUAACGCGUGGGAACCUGCCCUGUGGUACGGAACAACUCCGGGAAACUGGAGCUAAUACCGUAUGUGUCCUGCGGGACAAAGAUUUAUCGCCAUGGGAUGGGCCCGCGUAGGAUUAGCUUGUUGGUGGGGUAACGGCCUACCAAGGCAACGAUCCUUAGCUGGUCUGAGAGGAUGAUCAGCCACACUGGGACUGAGACACGGCCCAGACUCCUACGGGAGGCAGCAGUGGGGAAUAUUGGACAAUGGGCGCAAGCCUGAUCCAGCAAUGCCGCGUGAGUGAUGAAGGCCUUCGGGUUGUAAAGCUCUUUCGCACGCGACGAUGAUGACGGUAGCGUGAGAAGAAGCCCCGGCCAACUUCGUGCCAGCAGCCGCGGUAAUACGAAGGGGGCUAGCGUUGUUCGGAAUUACUGGGCGUAAAGGGCGCGUAGGCGGUACUUCAAGUCAGGCGUGAAAGCCCCGGGCUCAACCUGGGAACCGCGCUUGAGACUGGAGAACUAGAGUUCGGGAGAGGAUGGUGGAAUUCCCAGUGUAGAGGUGAAUUCGUAGAUAUUGGGAAGAACACCGAUGGCGAAGGCAGCCAUCUGGACCGACACUGACGCUGAGG
Molecule: ribosomal RNA, 656 nt
Filed under: uncultured Alphaproteobacteria bacterium
Lineage: Bacteria; Pseudomonadati; Pseudomonadota; Alphaproteobacteria
Description: bacterial SSU rRNA
Rfam family: Bacterial small subunit ribosomal RNA
Source: RNAcentral